GACGAACGCUGGCGGCGUGCUUAACACAUGCGAGUCGAACGGAAAGGCCCUGCUUUUGUGGGGUGCUCGAGUGGCGAACGGGUGAGUAACACGUGAGUAACCUGCCCUUGACUUUGGGAUAACUUCAGGAAACUGGGGCUAAUACCGGAUAGGAGCUCCUGCUGCAUGGUGGGGGUUGGAAAGUUUCGGCGGUUGGGGAUGGACUCGCGGCUUAUCAGCUUGUUGGUGGGGUAGUGGCUUACCAAGGCUUUGACGGGUAGCCGGCCUGAGAGGGUGACCGGCCACAUUGGGACUGAGAUGCGGCCCAGACUCCUACGGGAGGCAGCAGUGGGGAAUAUUGCACAAUGGGCGGAAGCCUGAUGCAGCAACGCCGCGUGCGGGAUGACGGCCUUCGGGUUGUAAACCGCUUUCGCCUGUGACGAAGCGUGAGUGACGGUAAUGGGUAAAGAAGCACCGGCUAACUAUGUG
This 468-nucleotide ribosomal RNA is filed under the name uncultured bacterium. Its description in RNAcentral is "partial 16S ribosomal RNA". It matches the Rfam family "Bacterial small subunit ribosomal RNA", at positions 28 to 507 of the family's 1533-position model. The record is from RNAcentral.